RNAcentral lists this transfer RNA (74 nucleotides) under Candidatus Dadabacteria bacterium. Its description in RNAcentral is "tRNA-Gln". It matches the Rfam family "tRNA". From Rfam's summary of the family: Transfer RNA (tRNA) molecules are approximately 80 nucleotides in length. Their secondary structure includes four short double-helical elements and three loops (D, anti-codon, and T loops). Lineage: Bacteria; Pseudomonadati; Thermodesulfobacteriota; Candidatus Dadabacteria. The record is from RNAcentral.
UCGCCCGUGGUGUAAUGGUAGCACGCCAGGUUCUGGCCCUGGAAAUCGAGGUUCGAAUCCUUGCGGGCGAGCCA